This 253-nucleotide ribosomal RNA is filed under the name uncultured bacterium. RNAcentral describes it as "partial 16S ribosomal RNA". It matches the Rfam family "Bacterial small subunit ribosomal RNA", at positions 524 to 776 of the family's 1533-position model. The record is from RNAcentral.
UACGGAGGGUGCAAGCGUUGUUCGGAAUUACUGGGCGUAAAGCGCUCGUAGGCGGAUUUGUAAGUCAAUUGUGAAAGCCCUGGGCUCAACCCGGGAAUUGCAGUUGAAACUGCGAAUCUUGAAUGCCUGAGAGGGUGACGAAAUUCCUGGUGUAGAAGUGAAAUUCGUAGAUAUCAGGAGGAACACCUGAGGCGAAAGCGGUUGCCUGGCAGUGCAUUGACGCUGAGGAGCGAAAGCGUGGGGAGCAAACAGG